GAUGAACGCCGGCGGCGUGCCUAAUACAUGCAAGUCGAGCGAACGGACGAGAAGCUUGCUUCUCUGAUGUUAGCGGCGGACGGGUGAGUAACACGUGGAUAACCUACCUAUAAGACUGGGAUAACUUCGGGAAACCGUAGCUAAUACCGGAUAAUAUUUUGAACCGCAUGGUUCAAAAGUGAAAGACGGUCUUGCUGUCACUUAUAGAUGGAUCCGCGCUGCAUUAGCUAGUUGGUAAGGUAACGGCUUACCAAGGCAACGAUGCAUAGCCGACCUGAGAGGGGGAUCGGCCACACUGGAACUGAGACACGGUCCAGACGACUACGGGAGGCAGCAGUAGGGAAUCUUCCGCAAUGGGCGAAAGCCUGACGGAGCAACGCCGCGUGAGUGAUGAAGGUCUUCGGAUCGUAAAACUCUGUUAUUAGGGAAGAAAAUAUGUGUAAGUAACUGUGCACAUCUUGACGGUACCUAAUCAGAAAGCCACGGCUAACUACGUG
Molecule: ribosomal RNA, 497 nt
Filed under: uncultured bacterium
Lineage: Bacteria
Description: partial 16S ribosomal RNA
Rfam family: Bacterial small subunit ribosomal RNA
Source: RNAcentral